UACGGAGGGGGCUAGCGUUGUUCGGAAUUACUGGGCGUAAAGCGCACGUAGGCGGCUUUGCAAGUCAGAGGUGAAAGCCCGGGGCUCAACCCCGGAAUAGCCUUUGAGACUGCAUCGCUAGAAUUGUGGAGAGGUAAGUGGAAUUCCGAGUGUAGAGGUGAAAUUCGUAGAUAUUCGGAAGAACACCAGUGGCGAAGGCGGCUCACUGGCCCGGUACUGACGCUGAGAUACGAAAGCGUGGGGAGCAAACAGG
Molecule: ribosomal RNA, 253 nt
Filed under: uncultured bacterium
Lineage: Bacteria
Description: partial 16S ribosomal RNA
Rfam family: Bacterial small subunit ribosomal RNA
Source: RNAcentral